UACGUAGGGGGCGAGCGUUGUCCGGAAUUAUUGGGCGUAAAGAGCUCGUAGGCGGUUCGGCAAGUCACGUGUGAAAUCUCCACGCUCAACGUGGAGGCGCCACGUGAGACUGCUGUGACUCGAGUCCGGUAGGGGAGCGUGGAAUUCCCGGUGUAGCGGUGAAAUGCGCAGAGAUCGGGAGGAACACCCGUAGCGAAGGCGGCGCUCUGGGCCGGUACUGACGCUGAGGUGCGAAAGCGUGGGGAGCAAACAGG
RNAcentral lists this ribosomal RNA (254 nucleotides) under uncultured bacterium. RNAcentral describes it as "partial 16S ribosomal RNA". It matches the Rfam family "Bacterial small subunit ribosomal RNA", at positions 524 to 776 of the family's 1533-position model. The record is from RNAcentral.